GACGAACGCUGGCGGCGUGCUUAACACAUGCAAGUCGAACGGAAAGGCCCUGCUUGCAGGGUACUCGAGUGGCGAACGGGUGAGUAACACGCGGGUGAUCAGCCCUGCUCUUCGGGAUAAGCCUGGGAAACUGGGUGUAAUACCGGAUAGGAGCCAUUUUUAGUGUGAUGGUUGGAAAGUUUAUUGGGUGUAGGGUGAGUUUGCGGCGUAUCAGCUUGCUGGUGCGGUAAUGGCCUACCAAGGCGGCGACGGGUAGCCGGCCUGAGUGGGUGAGCGGCCAUCCUGGCUCCGACGGGCGGCCGAGACACCUACUGUGGGCAGCAGUGGGGAAUAUUGCACAAGCGGCGCAAGGCUGAUGCAGCAAGUCCGCGUGUGGGAUGACGCCCUUCGGGGUGUAAACUCCUUUCGCAAGGGACGAAGCUUUUUGUGACGGUACCUAGUUAAGAAGCACCGGCUAACUACGUG
RNAcentral lists this ribosomal RNA (465 nucleotides) under uncultured bacterium. Its description in RNAcentral is "partial 16S ribosomal RNA". It matches the Rfam family "Bacterial small subunit ribosomal RNA", at positions 28 to 507 of the family's 1533-position model. The record is from RNAcentral.